RNAcentral lists this transfer RNA (69 nucleotides) under Nelumbo nucifera (sacred lotus). It matches the Rfam family "tRNA". From Rfam's summary of the family: Transfer RNA (tRNA) molecules are approximately 80 nucleotides in length. Lineage: Eukaryota; Viridiplantae; Streptophyta; Magnoliopsida; Proteales; Nelumbonaceae. The record is from Rfam by way of RNAcentral.
GUUUUUAUAAUAUAGUGGUGAGCAUUCUCGCCUGUCACGCGAGCGACUCGGGUUCAAUCCCUGGAAACG